Molecule: ribosomal RNA, 495 nt
Filed under: uncultured bacterium
Lineage: Bacteria
Description: partial 16S ribosomal RNA
Rfam family: Bacterial small subunit ribosomal RNA
Source: RNAcentral
AUGAACGCUGGCGGCGUGCCUAAUACAUGCAAGUCGAGCGAACAGAUGAGGAGCUUGCUCCUCUGACGUUAGCGGCGGACGGGUGAGUACACGUGGAUAACCUACCUAUAAGACUGGGAUAACUUCGGGAAACCGGAGCUAAUACCGGAUAAUAUAUUGAACCGCAUGGUUCAAUAGUGAAAGACGGUUUUGCUGUCACUUAUAGAUUGAUCCGCGCCGCAUUAGCUAGUUGGUAAGGUAACGGCUUACCAAGGCAACGAUGCGUAGCCGACCUGAGAGGGUGAUCGGCCACACUGGAACUGAGACACGGUCCAGACUCCUACGGGAGGCAGCAGUAGGGAAUCUUCCGCAAUGGGCGAAAGCCUGACGGAGCAACGCCGCGUGAGUGAUGAAGGUCUUCGGAUCGUAAAACUCUGUUAUUAGGGAAGAACAAAUGUGUAAGUAACUAUGCACGUCUUGACGGUACCUAAUCAGAAAGCCACGGCUAACUACGUG